RNAcentral lists this unclassified non-coding RNA (391 nucleotides) under fungal sp. RNAcentral's name for it is "partial internal transcribed spacer region". Lineage: Eukaryota; Fungi. The record is from RNAcentral.
AAGUCGUAACAAGGUUUCCGUAGGUGAACUGCGGAAGGGUCAUUACACGUAUCCAACGUUAACAACCCUGUGAACCUUCAUUCCUGCUCUCCUCGAGCCCUAACAAAAGCAAUCCUUGGACCAAUUUGAUUCAAGGACCUCUCUUGUCAGCCCUCGGGGAUUCGAUACGGUCGUCUCAACUUAGGCUUGGCUUCUGCGGAGCAGUCAGAGGGUGAAAGUGCCACUGAUUGCUUAAGCAGAUAACCAAUUAAAACUCGGAUUAUCGAGUUCCCACACGCCCGAUGAACAAGUCUCUGGGCGCAAGCCCCAAAUUAACUACCUCUAAGGCCUUAGCGGCCGCGUGCUGUCGCCGUCGUGAAAGCUGAACAACUGUAUGGAUAUCUUGGUUCUC